AUUCACCACCUACCUGCUGCCACUGGCACUUGUCUUGGCGUCGUGUAUGCCCCUCCGCAAACGUGUUUGGCCAUCCUGCGGGAUGGUCUAGGAGGCGAUGAGUUGCAGGCAGCGCUCUGGGGGCACCAUUGGGGUGUCUCGUCCGGUGUUUGAGCAGUGGCGCACACAUCCCUCCAUGGAAAAGUGGUGUGGCCGUUCUGCGUGGACGGUCGGAGGCGAUGAGUCCAGGCGACUUGGCGGUAACCGCUAACGAGCUGCACUGUUCACACUGAUGGGCACGCCCUCAGGGCAACCAACGGCUGUGCUGGCGUCUAUGCGUUGUUGAGCAGUUGUUGCGCACAUGUAAGCGUUGGUGUGAAGGGAGCAUACUGUCGUGGCGAUAGGCCAUGGCUCACACAAAGUGUGGCUGCUCUUGGACCCAUCUGCGAGCAAGUGUGCUACGUCCGUGGCUGUGAUGAGACGACGCGGUAGGGCCGAGUGCUUGCUAGCGCACGGCUUAAGACUUGAUGAGCUCAGUGAGAGGAGCCGCCAGCAAUCUUUUUUCAACUACAAUUUUUUACGGAGCGAAAGCAGAGAAAUU
This 580-nucleotide non-coding RNA is filed under the name Scutellonema cavenessi. Lineage: Eukaryota; Metazoa; Nematoda; Chromadorea; Rhabditida; Hoplolaimidae. The record is from RNAcentral.